RNAcentral lists this ribosomal RNA (328 nucleotides) under uncultured eukaryote. Its description in RNAcentral is "partial 18S ribosomal RNA". It matches the Rfam family "Eukaryotic small subunit ribosomal RNA", at positions 1470 to 1796 of the family's 1831-position model. The record is from RNAcentral.
CCCUUAGAUGUCCUGGGCCGCACGCGCGCUACACUGAGUGUCUGAGAUACGAGUCUGCCUAGCCGGCGAGGUCUAGGUAAUCGCUGAAAGACACAUCAUGCUUGGGAUAGAUUAUUGCAGAUAUUAAUCUUGAACGAGGAAUUCCUAGUAAGCGCAAGUCAACAGCUUGCGUUGAUUACGUCCCUGCCCUUUGUACACACCGCCCGUCGCUACUACUGAUUGGAUGUUUAAGCGAGGUUCUCGAACUGCUAGCGACUUAGCUUCGGUGAGGUCGCCGUGUGGGAAGUGAACCUAGCUUUGGUGUCUAGAGGAAGUAAAAGGCGUAUCA